ACACCUCAACUCUCAUGGUUUGCCAUGAAGAGCUUGGACUUUGGGGGUUUGCUGGCCGUUCGGUCGGCUCCCCUUAAAUGAAUCAGCUUGCCAGUGUUUGGUGGCGUCGCGGGUGUGAUAACUAUCUACGCUCACGGUCGCCUGCCAGGUAACCUUUGUCGCCAAAGGUUUGCUGGAGCUUACAAACGUCUCUCCUCAGCGAAGACAACUGUUGAACGU
This 219-nucleotide unclassified non-coding RNA is filed under the name uncultured Thelephoraceae. Its description in RNAcentral is "sequence contains ITS2". The record is from RNAcentral. Lineage: Eukaryota; Fungi; Basidiomycota; Agaricomycetes; Thelephorales; Thelephoraceae.